CCUACGGGUGGCAGCAGUAGGGAAUAUUGCUCAAUGGGGGAAACCCUGAAGCAGCAACGCCGCGUGGAGGAUGACGGUUUUCGGAGUGUAAACUCCUUUUGUUAGAGAAGAUAAUGACGGUAUGUAACGAAUAAGCACCGGCUAACUACGUGCCAGCAGCCGCGGUAAUACGGAGGGUGCAAGCGUUACUCGGAAUCACUGGGCGUAAAGAGCGCGUAGGCGGGAUAGCAAGUCAGAUGGGAAAUCGUAUGGCUUAACCAUAGAACUGCAUUUGAAACUGUUAUUCUAGAGUAUAGGAGAGGUAGGUGGAAUUCUUGGUGUAGGGGUAAAAUCCGUAGAGAUCACGAAGAAUACUCAUUGCGAAGGCGACCUGCUAGAACGUAACUGACGCUGAUGCGCGAAAGCGUGGGGAGCAAACAGGAUUAGAUACCCUAGUAGUC
This 440-nucleotide ribosomal RNA is filed under the name uncultured bacterium. RNAcentral describes it as "partial 16S ribosomal RNA". It matches the Rfam family "Bacterial small subunit ribosomal RNA", at positions 338 to 795 of the family's 1533-position model. The record is from RNAcentral.